RNAcentral lists this ribosomal RNA (450 nucleotides) under Triticum aestivum (bread wheat). RNAcentral's name for it is "partial small subunit ribosomal RNA". The record is from RNAcentral. Lineage: Eukaryota; Viridiplantae; Streptophyta; Magnoliopsida; Poales; Poaceae.
AUGGACCAUUCCAUCCCUUAUUCCCGUGGCUAUGUGUCGGAUUCGGAUGACGAAGGUCCCGAUGAAUAAGUUGAUGAGGAGGGGUUCACAGUGAAGGAGGCUAAAGCUUUCGAGAAGGUAUUCGGGCGGGAUAAUCGAAGUACAUUGUCCAAGGAUGUUAGUUUCAUGGAUGAAGCCGUGGUAGAUGGUGGCCAAGGUAUAUCUCUUGGGGUUAGGCCAAGAUCUCACCGUGAUUUGGAAGAUGGCAAGAAUGGGAUUGCUCGUGGGUCUAAGUUCGAAACCUUCUUGGAAUUGAAGAUGUGGCUCGACAACUACUCAGUUACGCAUUAUCAUCCACACAAGGUGGUGAACUCAGACGUCAAUGUGCACUACACAGUUGCAUGUGAAGAUGAAAAAUGUCCAUGGAUUGUGCGUGCAAGACCAUGGAAGGAGGUCCCACUUGGCACGUAG